Molecule: transfer RNA, 73 nt
Filed under: Ailuropoda melanoleuca (giant panda)
Lineage: Eukaryota; Metazoa; Chordata; Mammalia; Carnivora; Ursidae
Rfam family: tRNA
About the family: Transfer RNA (tRNA) molecules are approximately 80 nucleotides in length.
Source: Rfam by way of RNAcentral
GCCUGGCUGGCUCAGAUGGUAGAGCAUGUGACUCUUCACCUCAGGGCUGUGGGUGUGAGCCCCACUUUGGGCA